GUUGCUGGCCCUUUCGGGGGCAUGUGCACACCCACCAUCCUCAUCUCUCCACCUGUGCACCUCUUGUAGACCUGAAUUGASUUUCCGAGGCAACUCGGUCGGGAAGAUUGCUGUGCUCUGUGAGCCAGCUUUCUUUGCAUGUCUAGGCCUAUGUUUUUCAUAUACCCCUAUAGAAUGUAACAGAAUGUAUCAUUGGGCCUUGUGCCUAUAAACCUUAUACAACUUUCAGCAACGGAUCUCUUGGCUCUCGCAUCGAUGAAGAACGCAGCGAAAUGCGAUAAGUAAUGUGAAUUGCAGAAUUCAGUGAAUCAUCGAAUCUUUGAACGCACCUUGCGCUCCUUGGUAUUCCGAGGAGCAUGCCUGUUUGAGUGUCAUUAAAUUCUCAACCUUAUUAACUUUUGUUGAUAAUGGAUUGGAUUGUGGGGGUUUCUUUUGCUGGAUUCUUCACAGAGAUCAGCUCCCCUUAAAUGCAUUAGCUGGUGCCCCGCGUGGACCAUCUAUUGGUGUGAUAAUUAUCUACGCCGUGGAUGUCUGCAAUCAUAUGGGUUUUGCACUGCUUCUAACCGUCUGUUCAUUCRGACAAUACAUGACAAUUUGACCUCAAAUCAGGUAGGACUACCCGCUGAACUUAAGCAUAUCAAUAAGCGGAGGAAAAGAAACUAACAAGGAUUCCCCCUARUAACUGCGAGUGAAGCGGGAAAAGCUCAAAUUUAAAAUCUGGCGGUCUCCGGCCGUCCGAGUUGUAAUCUAGARAAGUGUUAUCCGCGCUGGACCGUGUAMAAGUCA
Molecule: ribosomal RNA, 786 nt
Filed under: uncultured fungus
Lineage: Eukaryota; Fungi
Also listed under: 1 other name
Description: eukaryotic LSU rRNA
Rfam family: 5.8S ribosomal RNA (bases 221-374)
Source: RNAcentral